UAUAUCACUUUACAAAAUUUGAAUCUGUUGGAUUAAAGGUAUUAAUUAAAGAUUUAUCGACACUAUUGGUUUUGAAUAUUAAAUUUAAUCUUUAUCAGGAACUAUGGAUAAAAGCAGGAACAGGGGCUACAAAACGAGACAUCGCAAUACAUAUUAUGGCAUUGCGUUGUGGCACAGAAACCUGUUUGGUACUUCCUGCACUUUACCACUUGACUGGAGCGGAUUAUACGAGCAAAGUUGGCACAAAACGUGCUGCUUUUCAAGCCGAACCAGAAAUGUAUCUUUUGAACUUUGCACAAGGUUUAACCAGAAGUGAAAUUGAAAGCUCUGUUCGGCUUGCAGAAGAGUUUUUGGUAAAAGUAUACCGCAAGGACAGUUCAUGUAAAAAUUUUAAUAAACUGAGAUAUUGGAUUUACCAUCACCAAAAAAAUGUUUCUUUAGAAAAGUUACCCCCAACUAGUGCAAAUAUUAGAUUUCAUAUUUUAAGAGCUUUUUUUAUUGUUUAUAAUCAAAACUUUUGUUUAAAUACAUUGGAACAUACCACUUUGCUUGAUCCACUUUGUUUUGGAUAGAAGAUCGAGAAUGGUUGCCUCUUACCAAAAUCAGUAACUAACCUUUUUCCCCCGAGUGACGAUCUUUUACCAAGCUGCAAUUGCACGAAAUGUUCGCGGCAAAAUAGUUGCCGUUGUAGGGCUGCUGGGUUAGAGUGUUGUUCAUUUUGUUAUUGUAAAGGAGGAAUAAACCAGUGUAAAAAUCCGUACAAUAAAUAAAUAAAGGUAAAAAGUAUAUUGUGUUCAAAUUA
Long non-coding RNA from Anthonomus grandis grandis, 802 nucleotides. RefSeq lists it as uncharacterized. The transcript has 2 exons. The record is from RefSeq and is a predicted model, not a curated record. NCBI's taxonomy places the organism in Eukaryota, Metazoa, Arthropoda, Insecta, Coleoptera, Curculionidae.